CACGUAGGGCGCAAGCGUUGUCCGGAAUUAUUGGGCGUAAAGAGCUCGUAGGCGGUCUGUUGCGUCCGCUGUGAAAACUCGGGGCUUAACCCCGAGCCUGCAGUGGAUACGGGCAGACUAGAGGUAGGUAGGGGAGAAUGGAAUUCCCGGUGUAGCGGUGAAAUGCGCAGAUAUUGGGAAGAACACCGGUGGCGAAGGCGGCUCACUGGCCCGUAACUGACGCUCAUGCACGACAGCGUGGGGAUCAAACAGG
Molecule: ribosomal RNA, 253 nt
Filed under: uncultured bacterium
Lineage: Bacteria
Description: partial 16S ribosomal RNA
Rfam family: Bacterial small subunit ribosomal RNA
Source: RNAcentral